CCUACGGGCGGCAGCAGUGAGGAAUAUUGGUCAAUGGCCGAGAGGCUGAACCAGCCAAGUCGCGUGAGGGAAGACGGCCCUACGGGUCGUAAACCUCUUUUGUCGGGGAGCAAAGCGAGUCACGUGUGACUCAUUGAGAGUACCCGAAGAAAAAGCAUCGGCAAACUCCGUGCCAGCAGCCGCGGUAAUCCGGAGGCUGCGAGCGUUAUCCGGAUUUAUUGGGGUAAAAGGGUGCGCAGGCGGAGGUGCAAGUCAGCGGUCAAAUUGCGGGGCUCAACCCCGUACUGCCGUUGAAACUGCAUCCCUUGAGUGCGGGAGAGGGAUGCGGAAUGCGGGGUGUAGCGGUGAAAUGCAUAGAUAUCACGAAGAACUCCGAUUGCGAAGGCAGCAUACCGGCGCGCAACUGACGCUCAUGCACGAAAGCGUGGGUAGCGAACAGGAUUAGAGACCCCUGUAGUC
This 459-nucleotide ribosomal RNA is filed under the name uncultured bacterium. RNAcentral describes it as "partial 16S ribosomal RNA". It matches the Rfam family "Bacterial small subunit ribosomal RNA", at positions 338 to 795 of the family's 1533-position model. The record is from RNAcentral.